This 99-nucleotide signal recognition particle RNA is filed under the name Bacteroidota bacterium. RNAcentral's name for it is "Bacteroidetes bacterium (wastewater metagenome) signal recognition particle sRNA small type". It matches the Rfam family "Bacterial small signal recognition particle RNA". From Rfam's summary of the family: The signal recognition particle (SRP) is a universally conserved ribonucleoprotein involved in the co-translational targeting of proteins to membranes. Archaeal SRP consists of a 7S RNA and homologues of the eukaryotic SRP19 and SRP54 proteins. In most bacteria, the SRP consists of a 4.5S RNA and the Ffh protein (a homologue of the eukaryotic SRP54 protein). Lineage: Bacteria; Pseudomonadati; Bacteroidota. The record is from RNAcentral.
CGCCAAGCGCUGUACAACUUUAUAGUUAGACAAUCCUGCCAGGUCCGGAAGGAAGCAACAGCCUCUGAUUAAGAGUGUGAUACAGUUAGCUUGGCUUUU